Molecule: ribosomal RNA, 468 nt
Filed under: uncultured bacterium
Lineage: Bacteria
Description: partial 16S ribosomal RNA
Rfam family: Bacterial small subunit ribosomal RNA
Source: RNAcentral
GACGAACGCUGGCGGCGCGCCUAACACAUGCAAGUCGAACGGAGCUGAGAGAAGCUUGCUUUUCUUAGCUUAGUGGCGAACGGGUGAGUAACGCGUGAGUAACCUGCCCUGGAGUGGGGGACAACAGUUGGAAACGACUGCUAAUACCGCAUAAGCCCACGAUCCGGCAUCGGAUUGAGGGAAAAGGAUUUAUUCGCUUCAGGAUGGACUCGCGUCCAAUUAGCUAGUUGGUGAGGUAACGGCCCACCAAGGCGACGAUUGGUAGCCGGACUGAGAGGUUGAACGGCCACAGUGGGACUGAGACACGGCCCAGACUCCUACGGGAGGCAGCAGUGGGGGAUAUUGCACAAUGGGGGAAACCCUGAUGCAGCGACGCCGCGUGGAGGAAGAAGGUUUUCGGAUUGUAAGCUCCUGUCGUUAGGGACGAUAAUGACGGUACCUAACAAGAAAGCACCGGCUAACUACGUG